RNAcentral lists this ribosomal RNA (205 nucleotides) under uncultured bacterium. RNAcentral describes it as "partial 16S ribosomal RNA". It matches the Rfam family "Bacterial small subunit ribosomal RNA", at positions 568 to 773 of the family's 1533-position model. The record is from RNAcentral.
CUCGUAGGCGGCCAACUAAGUCAGACGUGAAAUCCCUCGGCUUAACCGGGGAACUGCGUCUGAUACUGGAUGGCUUGAGAUUGGGAGAGGGAUGCGGAAUUCCAGGUGUAGCGGUGAAAUGCGUAGAUAUCUGGAGGAACACCGGUGGCGAAGGCGGCAUCCUGGACCAACACUGACGCUGAGGAGCGAAAGCAGGGAGACGAAC